AUUAGUGGCGAACGGGUGAGUAACACGUGAGUAACCUGCCCUUGACUCUGGGAUAACCUCCGGAAACGGAAGCUAAUACCGGAUACGAACUGCGAAGGCAUCUUCAGCAGUUGGAAAGAACUUCGGUCAAGGAUGGACUCGCGGCCUAUCAGGUAGUUGGUGAGGUAACGGCUCACCAAGCCUACGACGGGUAGCCGGCCUGAGAGGGUGACCGGCCACACUGGGACUGAGACACGGCCCAGACUCCUACGGGAGGCAGCAGUGGGGAAUAUUGCACAAUGGGCGCAAGCCUGAUGCAGCAACGCCGCGUGAGGGAUGACGGCCUUCGGGUUGUAAACCUCUUUUAGUAGGGAAGAAGCGAAAGUGACGGUACCUGCAGAAAAAGCACCGGCUAACUACGUGCCAGCAGCCGCGGUAAUACGUAGGGUGCGAGCGUUGUCCGGAAUUAUUGGGCGUAAAGAGCUCGUAGGCGGUCUGUCGCGUCUGCUGUGAAAACCCGAGGCUCAACCUCGGGCCUGCAGUGGGUACGGGCAGACUAGAGUGCGGUAGGGGAGAAUGGAAUUCCUGGUGUAGCGGUGGAAUGCGCAGAUAUCAGGAGGAACACCGAUGGCGAAGGCAGUUCUCUGGGCCGUAACUGACGC
This 641-nucleotide ribosomal RNA is filed under the name Leifsonia sp. I14A-00826. RNAcentral describes it as "bacterial SSU rRNA". It matches the Rfam family "Bacterial small subunit ribosomal RNA", at positions 91 to 746 of the family's 1533-position model. The record is from RNAcentral. Lineage: Bacteria; Bacillati; Actinomycetota; Actinomycetes; Micrococcales; Microbacteriaceae.